This 294-nucleotide long non-coding RNA is filed under the name Daphnia pulex (common water flea). RNAcentral's name for it is "uncharacterized LOC124208488, transcript variant X1". The record is from RNAcentral. Lineage: Eukaryota; Metazoa; Arthropoda; Branchiopoda; Diplostraca; Daphniidae.
UCUGAGUUUUGUCUGUGACAAGUCAAGUGAUGAUCAUCAGGUCCAAAAGCCGCGAAAGGGGUGGUUGUCCUUGACGAUACGUUUUUCGUAACACGUGUUAACUUUUUUCUUCCAGGAACCUUAUUUCAAUUGCAAAGGAAUUUGCUAGACAAUCCACACUACGUACUGUAAUGAGUUUGGAAUUGCAGAUGUGUCUAUUGCAGCCCAGCUCUGACGUCAAAGUAUUAUUGUUAUUGAUACACUCAUCACUGUAUAUGCAGGUGCUGAUUCUGCUCCAUGUUUUUACGCAGCCAC